This 2586-nucleotide ribosomal RNA is filed under the name Synura synuroidea. RNAcentral's name for it is "large subunit ribosomal RNA". It matches the Rfam family "Bacterial large subunit ribosomal RNA". Lineage: Eukaryota; Synurophyceae; Synurales; Mallomonadaceae. The record is from RNAcentral.
AACAUGGCUAAUAAAUGCAAAAAAGGGAUGCCUUGAAUUUUAAAAAUAGUUGUGUAGUGCAAAAAUAAGAUAUGAAAUUUUUUAAAAUCUAAUUACUAAAACAAAGAAAUUUAUCUUUUGAGAAUAUAAUUUAAAGUGAAGUAAAACAUUUCAGUAACUUAAAAAAGAAAUCAAACGAGAUACCGUUAGUAGUGGCGAGCGAAUAUGGUUUUAAAGCAAAAAUUUUAAUUUAUAAAAAAGAAUCAAAGUAGGUGUUAGUCCUGUAAGUUUUAUAAUUUUAAUUUAUUUUAAAUCGAAUUAUGUUAAAUUUGAUAUAAAUUUUGGGGAUCUAUCCUCAGGCUUAAAUAAAUUUUAAAAUAUCGAUAGUGAAUAGUACCGUAAGGGAAAGGUGAAAAAGAACUUUUAAGAGUAAAAAGAACCUAAAAUUUGUUGCAAAUAAUCUGUUGAAGCUAAAUAAAAUUUAGUAACAGCGUACCUUUUGCAUAAUGGGCCAGUGAGUUUGUAUUUUAAGCAAGUUUAAUAUAAAAAGACGAAGAUAACUCAAGAUUUAAAAAUCGUAAAAGUUUAAAAUACAAGACCCGAAGCUGAGUGAUUUAACCAUGAGCAGGCUGAAAAUUUUAUGGUAACAUAAAUUGGAGGGCCGAACCCGUUUCUGUUGAAAAAGAUUGGGAUGACUUGUGGUUAGGGGUGAAAGGCUAAUCAAACUCAGGGAUAGCUGGUUUUCUGCGAAAUAUAUUUUAGUAUAGCUUAUAAAUAAGUUAAAUGGGGUAAAGCACUUUUAAAAUAAAGGGGAUUUUUAAUCUUACUAAAUUUUUUUAAACUAAGAAUACAUUUAAUAUUUUUUAUAAAGUCAGACUAUAGGCGCGAAGGUUUAUAGUCAAAAGGGAAACAGCCCAGAUUAUUUAAUAAGGCCUUUAAUUAAAUUUAUUAAGUGAAAAGAAUGUGAAAAAAUUUUAACAAUUUUAAAGUGGGCUUGGAAGCAGCCAUCUUUUAAAGAAAGCGUAACAGCUCAUUAAUCUAAUUUUUUCGCUUCGAUAAUUUAUGGAGACUUAAAUAAUUAGCCGAAUUAGUAAAUUUUGGUAGCAGAACGUCCUGUAAGCUGUUGAAGAUUAUUUGUUAAAUUAAUUGGAGGUAUCAGGAGUGAGUAUACUGGCAUAAGUAGCUAAAAAUAAUGUAUUUAAUCAUUAUCACCGUAAAUCUAAAGUUUUCGAUUUAACAUUAAAUGAAAUCGAGUUAAUAGCGAUCUCUAAGACAAAUUACAAAUGUAUAAGUUAAUGAGAAUUUUUAUUUGUGACAAAUUUUUUUAAACAAAAAAUUAUAUUUUGAUUAAAUUUUUUUAUUUAAAAAAAUUUCUGGAAAAAGCAAAUUUAAUAAAAUCGUACUUUAAACCGACACAGGUAGAUGGGUAGAAAAUACUAAGGUGGACAAGAUAAUUGUGUUGAAGGAACUCGGCAAAAUGGCUCUGUAACUUAGGAAGAAAGAGUGACUACCCCAUUUGGGGAGUUAUCAUUAAAGAGGGAGAAGCGACUGUUUAUUAAAAACACAAAUCUCUGCUAAUUCGAAAGAAGAUGUAUAGGGAUUGACACCUGCCCGGUGCUGUAAGGCGAAUUGGUAGCGCUAUGGCGCUUAAAAUAACCCCCAGUAAACGGCGGCUGUAACUCUGACGGUCCAAAGGUAGCGAAAUUCCUUGUCGGGUAAGUUCCGACCUGCAUGAAUGGUGUAACGACUUCUCCGCUGUCUCCAGCACAAUCUUGGUGAAAUUGAAAUUCCUGUGAAGAUGCAGGAUUUUUGCAGUUAGACGGAAAGACCCCAUGCACCUUUACUAUGAUUUUAAGUUGUAUUUUUAUUUUUUUGGUGUAGAAUAGGUGGGAGCUUAGGCAAAAAUGAAAUACCACCCUAAAAAUUUAAAUUUACUUAACAUUUUUAUGAACAGCUUAUAAAAGGUAGUUUGACUGGGGCGGUCGCCUCCUAAAAAGUAACGGAGGCGUGCAAAAGUAUUUUCUAAUAAUUUAUAAUUAUUAUGAGCGUAAUGGUAUAAAGAAUGCUUGACUGUAAGACUUACAAGUCAAACAGAGACGAAAGUCGGCCAUAGUGAUCCGGUAAUUUUGAAUGGAAAAAUUAUCGCUCAACGAAUAAAAGGUACGCUGGGGAUAACAGGCUGAUGGUUUCUGAGAGUCCUUAUCGACGAGACCGUUUGGCACCUCGAUGUCGGCUCAUCACAUCCUGGAGCUGAAGCAGGUUCCAAGGGUUCGGCUGUUCGCCGAUUAAAGUGGUACGUGAGCUGGGUUUAGAACGUCGUGAGACAGUUCGGUCCCUAUCUGCUGCAAAAGUUUAAAAUUAAGAAGAUUGUAUUCUAGUACGAGAGGACUGAAUUCAGUACACCUCUGAUGUAUCGGUUGUUUUUAUCAAAGAGCAGCGCCGAGUAGUUAAGUGUAUAAAAAAUAAUUGCUGAAAGCAUAUAAGCAAGAAGUUUACUUUUAAAUAAAUUUUAAAGAAUCGUAAAAGAUCAUUACGUUGAUAGGCCAAAAAUGUAUAGAUUGUAAAAUCAACAGUUUAAUGGUACUAAAUUUCUAAAAAAAAAUUAGA